CCUACGGGAGGCAGCAGUGAGGAAUUUUCCGCAAUGGGCGAAAGCCUGACGGAGCAAUGCCGCGUGGAGGAGGAAGGCCUGUGGGUCGUAAACUCCUUUUCUCAGAGAAGAAGUUCUGACGGUAUCUGAGGAAUAAGCAUCGGCUAACUCUGUGCCAGCAGCCGCGGUAAUACAGGGGAUGCAAGCGUUAUCCGGAAUUAUUGGGCGUAAAGCGUCCUGAGGUGGCUUACCCAGUCGACUGUGAAAGCUCAAGGCUUAACCUUGAAACGGCAGUCGAAACUUGUAAGCUUGAGUACGGUAGGGGCAGAGGGAAUUCCCGGAGGAGAGGUGAAAUUCGUAGAUAUCGGGAGGAAGGCCAAAGGCGAAAGCACUCUGCUGGGCCGAUUACUGACACUGACAGACGAAAGCUAGGGGAGCGAAAGGGAUUAGAUACCCCUGUAGUCCUAGCCGUAAACGAUGGAUACUAAGUGUUGCGCGACUCAAAACGUGCAGUGCUGCAGCUAACGCGGUAAGUAUCCCGCCUGGGGAGUAUGCCGCAAGGGUGAAACUNAAAGGAAUUGACGNNGAGAGNGCGAGACGACGACGAGGAGAGG
This 593-nucleotide ribosomal RNA is filed under the name uncultured bacterium. Its description in RNAcentral is "bacterial SSU rRNA". It matches the Rfam family "Bacterial small subunit ribosomal RNA", at positions 338 to 945 of the family's 1533-position model. The record is from RNAcentral.